This 198-nucleotide ribosomal RNA is filed under the name uncultured bacterium. RNAcentral's name for it is "partial 16S ribosomal RNA". It matches the Rfam family "Bacterial small subunit ribosomal RNA", at positions 328 to 539 of the family's 1533-position model. The record is from RNAcentral.
ACGCUCGACACCUAUGGGAGGCAGCAGUGGGGAAUAUUGCACAAUGGGGGAAACCCUGAUGCAGCGACGCCGCGUGAGCGAAGAAGUAUUUCGGUAUGUAAAGCUCUAUCAGCAGGGAAGAAACUGACGGUACCUGACUAAGAAGCACCGGCUAAAUACGUGCCAACAGCCGCGGUAAUCUGAGCGGGCUGGCAAGGC